AUACGUAGGUGGCGAGCGUUGUCCGGAAUUACUGGGCGUAAAGGGUGCGUAGGCGGAUAUUUAAGUCAGAUGUGAAAUUCCCGGGCUCAACCUGGGAAGUGCAUUUGAAACUGGGUAUCUAGAGUGCAGGAGAGGGAAGCGGAAUUCCUAGUGUAGCGGCGAAAUGCGUAGAGAUCUGGAGGAACACCAGUGGCGAAGGCGACUACCUGGACCGAUACUGACACUGAGGAGCGAAAGCGUGGGGAGC
RNAcentral lists this ribosomal RNA (247 nucleotides) under uncultured bacterium. Its description in RNAcentral is "partial 16S ribosomal RNA". It matches the Rfam family "Bacterial small subunit ribosomal RNA", at positions 523 to 769 of the family's 1533-position model. The record is from RNAcentral.